GAGAGAUUAAAGAAUGAGAGAACUGUGUUUGUUGGGAAUUUGCCUGUUACAUGUAAUAAGAAGAAGCUGAAGUCGUUUUUUAAAGAGUAUGGACAAAUAGAAUCUGUACGAUUUCGUUCUCUGAUUCCAGCAGAGGGAACGCUAUCCAAAAAGUUGGCAGCAAUAAAACGUAAAAUUCAUCCUGAUCAGAAAAAUAUUAAUGCCUAUGUUGUGUUUAAGGAGGAGAGUGCUGCCACGCAAGCAUUGAAAAGAAAUGGGGCCCAGAUUGCAGAUGGAUUUCGUAUUAGAGUUGAUCUCGCAUCUGAGACCUCAUCUACAAGAGAUCGGUUUUUGUGGGGAAUCUCCCUUAUAAAGUUGAAGAAUCUGCCAUUGAGAAGCACUUUCUGGACUGUGGAAGUAUCAUGGCCGUGAGGAUUGUGAGAGACAAAAUGACAGGCAUCGGCAAAGGGUUUGGCUAUGUGCUCUUUGAGAAUACAGAUUCUGUUCAUCUUGCUCUGAAAUUAAAUAAUUCUGAACUCAUGGGGAGAAAACUCAGAGUCAUGCGUUCUGUUAAUAAAGAAAAAUUUAAACAACAAAAUUCAAAUCCACGAUUGAAGAAUGUCAGUAAACCUAAGCAGGGACUUAAUUUUACUUCCAAAACUGCAGAAGGACAUCCUAAAAGCUUAUUUAUUGGAGAAAAAGCUGUUCUCCUUAAAACGAAGAAGAAAGGACAGAAGAAAAGUGGACGCCCUAAGAAACAGAGAAAACAGAAAUAACAACCAGGAACUGCUUUUUCUUUUCCUGCUGAGUACUGCUAAUAAAAGUGCUAUUAUCUGC
This 816-nucleotide long non-coding RNA is filed under the name Homo sapiens (human). Its description in RNAcentral is "long non-coding RNA NONHSAT153188.1". The record is from RNAcentral. Lineage: Eukaryota; Metazoa; Chordata; Mammalia; Primates; Hominidae.